This 72-nucleotide transfer RNA is filed under the name Camelus bactrianus (Bactrian camel). It matches the Rfam family "tRNA". From Rfam's summary of the family: Transfer RNA (tRNA) molecules are approximately 80 nucleotides in length. Their secondary structure includes four short double-helical elements and three loops (D, anti-codon, and T loops). Further hydrogen bonds mediate the characteristic L-shaped molecular structure. tRNAs have two regions of fundamental functional importance: the anti-codon, which is responsible for specific mRNA codon recognition, and the 3' end, to which the tRNAs corresponding amino acid is attached (by aminoacyl-tRNA synthetases). tRNAs cope with the degeneracy of the genetic code in two manners: having more than one tRNA (with a specific anti-codon) for a particular amino acid; and 'wobble' base-pairing, i.e. permitting non-standard base-pairing at the 3rd anti-codon position. RNAcentral also lists the same sequence under 2 other names. The record is from Rfam by way of RNAcentral. Lineage: Eukaryota; Metazoa; Chordata; Mammalia; Artiodactyla; Camelidae.
GAGGGUAUAGCUCAGUGGUAGAGUAUGUGUUUGGUAUGCAGGAAGUCCAGGGUUCAAUCCCCAGUACCUCCA